This is a non-coding RNA of Acanthosepion pharaonis, 113 nucleotides long. NCBI's taxonomy places the organism in Eukaryota, Metazoa, Mollusca, Cephalopoda, Sepiida, Sepiidae. The record is from the annotation of a GenBank genome assembly.
UAUGGCCAUAUCAUGUUGAAACACUGGUUCUCAUAUGAUCACCAAAGUUAAGCACCGUCAGGCCUGGGCAGUAUCUACAAUGAGUGACCAAUUGGGAAUACCAGGUGCUGUUA